GACGAACGCUGGCGGCGUGCUUAACACAUGCAAGUCGAGCGGAAGGACGCGGCUUUUGUUUGUUGCUCGAUUGGCGAAGAGGGGAGUAACACGUGAGUAACCUCCCCUUGACUUUCUGAUAACUUCACGAAACUGCGGCGCAUACCGCGUAUGAGCUCCUGCUGCGUGUGGUUGGUUGGAAAGAUUCGGCGGUGGGGGAUGGACUCGCGGCUUAUCAGCUGCUUGGGCGGGUAGUUGCGUACCAAGCCUGUGACGGCUAGCCGGCCUGGGAGGGUUACCGGCCACAUUGGGACUGCGAUACGGAGCAGAAUCCUACGUGAGGCAGUAGUCGGGAACAUGGCACAAUGGGCGGACGUCUGAUGUAGCAACGCCGCGUGCGGGAUGCCGUCUUUUGGGUGGUAAACCGAUUUCGCAGGUGCUGUAGCGUGAGUGACGGUACCGGGUAAAGAAGCCACGGCUAACUACGUG
This 468-nucleotide ribosomal RNA is filed under the name uncultured bacterium. RNAcentral's name for it is "partial 16S ribosomal RNA". It matches the Rfam family "Bacterial small subunit ribosomal RNA", at positions 28 to 507 of the family's 1533-position model. The record is from RNAcentral.